Molecule: ribosomal RNA, 249 nt
Filed under: uncultured bacterium
Lineage: Bacteria
Description: partial 16S ribosomal RNA
Rfam family: Bacterial small subunit ribosomal RNA
Source: RNAcentral
AUUGAACGCUGGCGGCAUGCUUUACACAUGCAAGUCGAACGGCAGCGCGGGCGGGGGUAACCUCGCCUGGCGGCGAGUGGCGAACGGGUGAGUAAUAUAUCGGAACGUACCCAAGAGUGGGGGAUAACGUAGCGAAAGUUACGCUAAUACCGCAUACGAUCCAAGGAUGAAAGUGGGGGCUUGCAAGACCUCAUGCUCCCGGAGCGGCCGAUAUCUGAUUAGCUAGUUGGUGAGGUAAAGGCUCACCAA